RNAcentral lists this non-coding RNA (84 nucleotides) under Desulfobacter sp. Its description in RNAcentral is "Desulfitibacter sp. c-di-GMP sequence". It matches the Rfam family "c-di-GMP-I riboswitch aptamer". From Rfam's summary of the family: GEMM was predicted in a large-scale screen for bacterial structured RNA regulatory elements. Genes associated with GEMM are involved in a diverse array of functions, including chemotaxis regulation, signal transduction, secretion and chitin. Lineage: Bacteria; Pseudomonadati; Thermodesulfobacteriota; Desulfobacteria; Desulfobacterales; Desulfobacteraceae. The record is from RNAcentral.
AUUUAAAUAGGGCAAAGCCAUCGAAAGGUGGUGACGCAAAGCUAUGGGUCUAAAGCUAUAAGCUAUGACUGCCAGGUUGCAUUA